Molecule: ribosomal RNA, 253 nt
Filed under: uncultured bacterium
Lineage: Bacteria
Description: partial 16S ribosomal RNA
Rfam family: Bacterial small subunit ribosomal RNA
Source: RNAcentral
UACAGAGGUCUCAAGCGUUGUUCGGAUUCAUUGGGCGUAAAGGGUGCGUAGGCGGGUCUUUAAGUCAGGGGUGAAAUCCUGGAGCUCAACUCCAGAACUGCCUUUGAUACUGAAGAUCUUGAGUCCGGGAGAGGUGAGUGGAACUGCGAGUGUAGAGGUGAAAUUCGUAGAUAUUCGCAAGAACACCAGUGGCGAAGGCGGCUCACUGGCCCGGUACUGACGCUGAGGUGCGAAAGCGUGGGGAGCAAACAGG